This is a long non-coding RNA of Cyprinodon variegatus (sheepshead minnow), 2173 nucleotides long. RefSeq lists it as uncharacterized. The record is from RefSeq and is a predicted model, not a curated record. Lineage: Eukaryota; Metazoa; Chordata; Actinopteri; Cyprinodontiformes; Cyprinodontidae. The transcript has 3 exons.
AGAAGAAGAAGAAAAAAAAUCACCCUGGUGUUUGGGUCUGAUUUCUCAGCUCAUUAAUCCUCCCUCUGGUCAUACAGUGUGUCUCGCAGACUGGCAUCAUUUAGCUAUCUUGGAGCAUAAAGUAUUUUGUCCCAGCCGGAAUGUGUGCAGGACAGCUUAAAAUGCUGCUGAUGCUUGGAGAUGGCUUGGCCCUGGACACAUGUGGUGGAACGGAAGAUGAAGGAAGGGAGCUGAGAGGAGUCAAAGGCAGACUUGGAUGAUAAAGGGUGUGGAGAAUCUGAAGCUGACUGCUUGCCCACCUGGAGUGCAUCAAAGUUGCCACUGCUGGCCUGGCAGCUGCACCCUGGGAUAUCGGACACCCCGGAGAUGACGAGUCUGAUGAAUCUGUGGGCUCCCUGCCCUGUGGCCUUGGUCAGAUCCAUCCUAGUGGGAAACAAGUGUGUCUGACUGACCCAGACCAAACACACUUCAAACUUACACUCACACACACACACAAACGCACACUUCCUGUGGCCUCUACUGCCAACCGCAUCAUUAAUACCAAUUGGCCUUUCUUUAUGGCUGCAAAUAUUUUUCACAUGUUCUCGGAUCACCUUGGGUCUUUCUGGCCACAAUAAAAGCUCUCCUUUCUUUGUAGUCCUAAUAGCAAAAAGGGACAUUUGUUAACAUUAUUUGUGAGACUUUUGAAGCCAUAUAGCGGAGUUCUGUUUCAGGGUGUGUAAGCACUUGUUUAUUGUACCUGAGUAGACAAACCUUAUUGAAACCAAAGUCUGACCCUUAAGUUCGGGCCCCCAUUUUUAAUGUGAGUAGUAAUAGUGUAUAUUAUUUACAUUUGUUGAUACUAAGGUUUGAGUACAGUACUGUAUUUACAUGGAAAAUAUAUGUGUGUAUUUCUCUACUAGAGUCUACUUUUACAACUAAUUAUGGAGCCGUUUAAGGUUAGCAAUAUGUCGGUAACAGUUAGGGGAAAGGCAGAAACACAGUUACUUAAUUAAACAUCAGUUUUUGUAAACACCUGAUAUGGGUAGAAUGGCUUUUGGAGACGGAGGAGGGGCAGCUCCACUUCUGCAAUGUCUGUUUGAUGAUUCCUUUAUUGUGUCUACAACACAGCUAGUGGCGGGUCUUUAAAAUCCAAUAAGCCAGACACACAUAGGCUCAUUGUCAAAAAGGCAGGACAUGGAGGUGUUUACACUUGACAUAUUAAUAAGUUGAACUGUGGGGAUAUCUGUAGACAAAUCUCCAUUUGGUUCAUUUAACAAUUACAAACACUUUGGAUGGAAAUGAAGAGAAAGAGCCAAACUGACCUGCAUCCAACAAGUGUUGGCUGCCCGGGGGUCUAUACUCAGAACUCUGAUUAGCAUGAUAAGAAGGAAGAAACACAUCCAAACAUUGUUUACCUUUGAAACAACACCGUCAGUCUUGGUGCUUUCAUUUGAGCUAUACUGUAUAAAUACUUCUCAGAAAAAGCUGAGAGAAAACAACAAUAACUCAGUGACAGAUACGUAGAAAACUCAGUGUGGUGGAUUCUGUGUUUUACAGGUCAGACAGUCUUUAUCCUCAUUUCUUCCCUUAGCUCCUGCUUUCUACUGCUUUGUUUUCAUGUCACAGUUUCUCAGAAAGUGGGAAGCCCUGAUGCCAAUGUGCUGUGUUUUCUUUUCACUCAGCAUAUUAUACAUGGCUUCACUCUACCCUGAUGCUGGUAUCAGCUUUGUGCAAGUAAGUUUUGCCUUUGUCUGCAUCUGGACGAGCACAAUUGCUAAAGGUACCACUUGUACGUGCAUAAGAGCCAACCUUUUGCCAAGAAACAAACCAUGUUCAGUUUAUCAGAUCAGAGUUUGCCAGUACUUUGAGUCCACUCCCUUCCUCAUAAUUCAUCAUAUCUAAACAAAGACAAAACAGUCCAAGAUUUUAAUUAUAUGAUUGGCACUUUUACGACUGCAGUUAAGUUUGCAAACCGUCAUGAGAUGUGUUAUGUGUGAAAGUCAGGCCCUAUAUGUUAGAAGCAGAACAUAUUUUCAUGAUCAAAUCAAUCCAUGUUUUUUUUAAUCCAUGUUUAUUGAUAGAAAAGGUAUAUUUAAUAUGUAUGGAUAUUUUGAAGUGUUGUUCCUCAAAGUAAGAAAAAAAAGUAAGAAAUUAAGUCUAAACAGAUGCUCCAUGCUACAUAUCCACAUAG